AUUGAACGCUGGCGGCAUGCCUUACACAUGCAAGUCGAACGGUAACGGGCUUUCGGGUGCCGACGAGUGGCGAACGGGUGAGUAAUACAUCGGAACGUGCCCGAUCGUGGGGGAUAACGAGGCGAAAGCUUUGCUAAUACCGCAUACGAUCUACGGAUGAAAGCAGGGGACCGCAAGGCCUUGCGCGGACGGAGCGGCCGAUGGCAGAUUAGGUAGCUGGUGGGAUAAAAGCUUACCAAGCCGACGAUCUGUAGCUGGUCUGAGAGGAUGAUCAGCCACACUGGGACUGAGACACGGCCCAGACUCCUACGGGAGGCAGCAGUGGGGAAUUUUGGACAAUGGGCGCAAGCCUGAUCCAGCCAUGCCGCGUGCAGGAUGAAGGCCUUCGGGUUGUAAACUGCUUUUGUACGGAACGAAAAGCCUUCUUUUAAUACAGGAGGGUCAUGACGGUACCGUAAGAAUAAGCACCGGCUAACUACGUG
RNAcentral lists this ribosomal RNA (482 nucleotides) under uncultured bacterium. RNAcentral describes it as "partial 16S ribosomal RNA". It matches the Rfam family "Bacterial small subunit ribosomal RNA", at positions 30 to 507 of the family's 1533-position model. The record is from RNAcentral.